GAUGAACGCUGGCGGCGUGCCUAAUACAUGCAAGUCGAGCGAACAGACGAGGGGCUUGCUCCUCUGACGUUAGCGGCGGACGGGUGAGUAACACGUGGAUAACCUACCUAUAAGACUGGGAUAACUUCGGGAAACCGGAGCUAAUACCGGAUAAUAUAUUGAACCGCAUGGUUCAAUAGUGAAAGACGGUUUUGCUGUCACUUAUAGAUGGAUCCGCGCCGCAUUAGCUAGUUGGUAAGGUAACGGCUUACCAAGGCAACGAUGCGUAGCCGACCUGAGAGGGUGAUCGGCCACACUGGAACUGAGACACGGUCCAGACUCCUACGGGAGGCAGCAGUAGGGAAUCUUCCGCAAUGGGCGAAAGCCUGACGGAGCAACGCCGCGUGAGUGAUGAAGGUCUUCGGACCGUAAAACUCUGUUAUUAGGGAAGAACAAAUGUGUAAGUAACUAUGCACGUCUUGACGGUACCUAAUCAGAAAGCCACGGCUAACUACGUG
This 497-nucleotide ribosomal RNA is filed under the name uncultured bacterium. RNAcentral describes it as "partial 16S ribosomal RNA". It matches the Rfam family "Bacterial small subunit ribosomal RNA", at positions 28 to 507 of the family's 1533-position model. The record is from RNAcentral.